AAGACUGUUGCUGGUCAGAGGGGUUUUUAUCCCCCUUGGCAUGUGCACGUCUUGCAAGCUUUCUCUGUCGACCUUUUCUCUCUCAUAUACACACACCUGUGCACUUGUUGUAGGCUCUCGAAAAGAGAGUCUAUGUUUUUUCUUGCAUUACACUCUAUCGUAUGUCUAUAGAAUGUAUAUUGAAAUCGUCGACCCCGACGGUCUUAUAAAUCAUACAACUUUCAGCAACGGAUCUCUUGGCUCUCGCAUCGAUGAAGAACGCAGCGAAUUGCGAUAAGUAAUGUGAAUUGCAGAUUUUCAGUGAAUCAUCGAAUCUUUGAACGCACCUUGCGCUCCUUGGUAUUCCGAGGAGCAUGCCUGUUUGAGUGUCAUCGAAUUCUCAACCAUGUCUUGAUUGAUUUCAAGACACUGGCUUGGAGUUUGGGGGAUUGCUGGCAGCAGAGUCAGCUCUCCUGAAAUGUAUUAGCAAAAGGGCUGCAAGUCUUUUUCAAUAUACAAAAUGGCCUUCGACGUGAUAAUGAUCGUCGUGGUGUGGUAUUGUUGGAAAGGACAUGCAUGAAAUGGGAGUCCCUAUGCUUCUAAUUCCUUCUGGUGCUUGAAGUCAACUACCAUUAACUCAGCUUAUUAGUCGGUCGUGAGGCUGGCGAAAGGUAUUGAGAUUCUAAGGAGCUUCACUUUGGGCCAGUCUGAUUCGAAACUUGACCUSUAAU
This 710-nucleotide small RNA is filed under the name uncultured Boletus. RNAcentral describes it as "eukaryotic LSU rRNA". The stretch from base 217 to 371 matches the Rfam family "5.8S ribosomal RNA". The record is from RNAcentral. Lineage: Eukaryota; Fungi; Basidiomycota; Agaricomycetes; Boletales; Boletaceae.